This 381-nucleotide ribosomal RNA is filed under the name uncultured eukaryote. Its description in RNAcentral is "SSU rRNA". It matches the Rfam family "Eukaryotic small subunit ribosomal RNA", at positions 587 to 972 of the family's 1831-position model. The record is from RNAcentral.
AGCUCCAAUAGCGUAUAUUAAAGUUGUUGCGGUUAAAAGCUCGUAGUUGGAUUUCUGCCGAAAUUGGCUGGUCCGCUCUCUGAGCGUGUAUGUAGCCCAAUUUCGGCAUGCUCGCUGCUGUUGUAGCUGCGCUUCAAUGCACGGUUCAAUUGGCAGCGUACUUUACUUUGAGGAAAUUAGAGUGUUCACGGCAGUCGAGUGUUAUGAAUACAUUAGCAUGGAAUAAUGGAAUGAAGCCUGAGUUUUAUUUUAUUGGUUACUAGAACUGAGGUAACUCUUGAUAGGGAUAGUCGGGGGCAUUUGUAUUAACGCGUCAGAGGUGGAAUUCUUAGAUUGCGUUACGACAAACAAGUGCGAAAGCAUUUGCCAAGGAUGUUUUCA